AAAUAGCCGCAAUUAGUGCUAAGGUAGCAUAAUCAUUNUGUCUUUUAAAUAAAGACUAGAACAAAAGAUUUAACAUUUCAAUUCAUAUAUUUUAUCUACCUUUUAAAUCUUUUUUAGUUGUUAAAAAUCAGCUAUUAAUCAGAUAGACGACAAGACCCUAUUGAACUUAACUUUAGUUAAACUGGGGAAGUGAAUUAAUUAUUAUUUUAAUAUUAAAACUUUAAAAAUCAUCUAAUUAUUUAAUAGAUUCAGUUACCAUAGGGAUAACAGCGCAAUUAUAUUUCAAAGUUCUUAUAUUAAAUAUAGAUUACGACCUCGAUGUUGAAUUAAUAUCCUGACUAAAGCAAAUUUUAAGAAAGGAAGUCUGUUCGACUUUUAAAAAAUUACAUGAUUUGAGUUCAGACCGGUGUAAGCCAGGUCGGUUUCCAUCUUCUUUAAAAAAUUCUGUAGUACGAAAGGACCUAGAAAUUUAAUUAUAUUAAUAUUUUAGCAAAUAAAUGCAUUAGAAUUAGAAUCUAAAAAAACU
RNAcentral lists this ribosomal RNA (526 nucleotides) under Thorelliola tamasi. RNAcentral describes it as "partial 16S ribosomal RNA". The stretch from base 141 to 434 matches the Rfam family "Bacterial large subunit ribosomal RNA", at positions 2074 to 2646 of the family's 2925-position model. The record is from RNAcentral. Lineage: Eukaryota; Metazoa; Arthropoda; Arachnida; Araneae; Salticidae.